GACGAACGCUGGCGGCGUGCUUAACACAUGCAAGUCGAACGGACCCUUUUAACGGAAAUUUUCGGAUGGAAGUUAGUGGGGUUAGUGGCGGACGGGUGAGUAACGCGUGGGUAACCUACCCUGCUUACGGGGACAACAGCUGGAAACGGCUGCUAAUACCGGAUACGAUUCUCGGAUGACAUCGUCUGAGAAAGAAAGGUGGCCUCUAUUUAUAAGCUACCGAGGCAGGAUGGACCCGCGUCUGAUUAGAUAGUUGGUGAGGUAACGGCUCACCAAGUCGACGAUCAGUAGCCGGCCUGAGAGGGUGGCCGGCCACACUGGGACUGAGACACGGCCCAGACUCCUACGGGAGGCAGCAGUGGGGAAUCUUCCGCAAUGGGCGAAAGCCUGACGGAGCAACGCCGCGUGAGUGAAGAAGGCCUUCGGGUCGUAAAGCUCUGUCUUUAGGGAAGAACAAUCAGUGUGUAAAUAAUGCACUGAUCUGACGGUACCUGAGGAGGAAGCUCCGGCUAACUACGUG
This 520-nucleotide ribosomal RNA is filed under the name uncultured organism. Its description in RNAcentral is "bacterial SSU rRNA". It matches the Rfam family "Bacterial small subunit ribosomal RNA", at positions 28 to 507 of the family's 1533-position model. The record is from RNAcentral.